This 300-nucleotide long non-coding RNA is filed under the name Nicotiana tabacum (common tobacco). RNAcentral describes it as "long non-coding RNA (NTAB_LNC004048)". The record is from RNAcentral. Lineage: Eukaryota; Viridiplantae; Streptophyta; Magnoliopsida; Solanales; Solanaceae.
UGGUGCAAGUCUUUGUCAGGCAGCUCUGCAAAGAAGUGAUUGGCUUUGACUAUGCAUCUCAUACCAUUGCUCCCCUUCCCUGGACGCAGGGGAAACCGUAGUGAUUUGCUUGAUGCAGGUGGAACUGCUUGCGUUGGAGCCGCUUCUUGCUGCAAAGCAAGUUGCUGGAACUGUUGUGUCACUUGUAGAGCUGCCUGCUCAGGUGGCUGAGAUGAGGAACCAGCUUCAGAGGAUGUUUCAGUUGGUCUUACAUAAGGUAUAGGCUGAGUAGUCAUUGCAGCUUGAUAUGGAGUCUGGGAG